Molecule: ribosomal RNA, 525 nt
Filed under: uncultured bacterium
Lineage: Bacteria
Description: bacterial SSU rRNA
Rfam family: Bacterial small subunit ribosomal RNA
Source: RNAcentral
AGAGUUUGAUCAUGGCUCAGAUUGAACGCUGGCGGCAUGCCUUACACAUGCAAGUCGAACGGCAGCAUGGAGAGCUUGCUCUCUGAUGGCGAGUGGCGAACGGGUGAGUAAAGCAUCGGAACGUACCGUGUAGUGGGGGAUAACGUAGCGAAAGUUACGCUAAUACCGCAUACGCACUGAGGUGGAAAGCAGGGGAUCGCAAGACCUUGCGCUAUACGAGCGACCGAUGUCAGAUUAGCUAGUUGGUAGGGUAAAGGCCUACCAAGGCGACGAUCUGUAGCGGGUCUGAGAGGAUGAUCCGCCACACUGGGACUGAGACACGGCCCAGACUCCUACGGGAGGCAGCAGUGGGGAAUUUUGGACAAUGGGGGCAACCCUGAUCCAGCCAUGCCGCGUGAGUGAAGAAGGCCUUCGGGUUGUAAAGCUCUUUCGGCCGGGAAGAAAUCGCACAGGCUAAUAUCCUGUGUGGAUGACGGUACCGGCAUAAGAAGCACCGGCUAACUACGUGCCAGCAGCCGCGGUAAU